GAUGAACGCUGGCGGCGUGCCUAAUACAUGCAAGUCGAGCGAACAGACGAGGAGCUUGCUCCUCUGACGUUAGCGGCGGACGGGUGAGUAACACGUGGAUAACCUACCUAUAAGACUGGGAUAACUUCGGGAAACCGGAGCUAAUACCGGAUAAUAUAUUGAACCGCAUGGUUCAAUAGUGAAAGACGGUUUUGCUGUCACUUAUAGAUGGAUCCGCGCCGCAUUAGCUAGUUGGUAAGGUAACGGCUUACCAAGGCAACGAUGCGUAGCCGACCUGAGAGGGUGAUCGGCCACACUGGAACUGAGACACGGUCCAGACUCCUACGGGAGGCAGCAGUAGGGAAUCUUCCGCAAUGGGCGAAAGCCUGACGGAGCACCGCCGCGUGAGUGAUGAAGGUCUUCGGAUCGUAAAGCUCUGUUAUUAGGGAAGAACAAAUGUGUAAGUAACUAUGCACGUCUUGACGGUACCUAGUCAGAAAGCCACGGCUAACUCCGUG
This 497-nucleotide ribosomal RNA is filed under the name uncultured bacterium. Its description in RNAcentral is "partial 16S ribosomal RNA". It matches the Rfam family "Bacterial small subunit ribosomal RNA", at positions 28 to 507 of the family's 1533-position model. The record is from RNAcentral.